UACGUAGGGACCAAGCGUUGUUCGGAUUUACUGGGCGUAAAGGGCGCGUAGGCGGCGUGGUAAGUCAGCUGUGAAAUCUCCGAGCUUAACUCGGAACGGUCAGCUGAUACUGCUGUGCUAGAGUACAGAAGGGGCAAUCGGAAUUCUUGGUGUAGCGGUGAAAUGCGUAGAUAUCAAGAGGAACACCUGAGGCGGAGGCGGGUUGCUAGGCUGAUACUGACGCUGAGGCGCGAAAGCUAGGGUAGCAAACGGG
RNAcentral lists this ribosomal RNA (253 nucleotides) under uncultured bacterium. RNAcentral's name for it is "partial 16S ribosomal RNA". It matches the Rfam family "Bacterial small subunit ribosomal RNA", at positions 524 to 776 of the family's 1533-position model. The record is from RNAcentral.